AGGGCGGGGCGCUGUCUCACCUGGCACGGAGCCGGCUCUCUUUGCCCAGCGCCCCUCCCCCUGCCUGGCGAGGGCAGGGCUGAGCCGGAAAGAGCCCAAGGCGGGUGCUGUGGCUCCCGGGCAGCCUGGGGGCCGAGUGCGGCUCCCCACCGCCGACCUCUGGCACCUGGUCCUGCUUGUGAGUGACUAAGCGGUUUCUCCUCCGAGGUAGCUGUCUGCCAGGAGGCCCCACUGGCCGUGGAACUGCACCAGGAUGCCCAGAGCUGCACGCGCAAAACCCGUAAUUAGCGAGUCCCCUUCUUGGGAAAGAAAACCCCUCCAUGUUUUGUUUUGUUUUAUUUUCCCCUUAAAUGAAACAAAUCCACCCACGCAGUUACUGGAAACGCAAGCAUGUGAAACUGAGCCGUUUGCAGAGAGAAUUAGUCAGCAACCUUGUGCGCAGGGCGCUCUGGGAGGCGGGCCGCCCUGGCCCCUGAGGCUCCCCAGCCCGGAGGGGGACCAGGUGACUCUGACUUCCCAAAGGCCCACAGUGUCCUCCCAAGGCCAGGCGAUGCCCCGGCAGGGGGUCACGUUUAGGGCACCCGGUGCCCAGGGCCAAUUACCUGGCAGCGGAUGGAGGGCUGCAGAGCGAAGGAGAGGCCUGAAGCCCUGGCUUGGAAUCAACCUCACCUUCGCAUCGCACCCCAUGAGGAGCUGGACCUCAGCCACUUGCCACUGGAAAUACCCACCGGAAGCAUCCCUUGGGGAGGUAAUUAAAGCCUGAAGCUGAGGGCUGAUUUUUCCUGGACAGAAA
RNAcentral lists this long non-coding RNA (793 nucleotides) under Chinchilla lanigera (long-tailed chinchilla). RNAcentral describes it as "lncRNA (ENSCLAG00000023358.1)". The record is from RNAcentral. Lineage: Eukaryota; Metazoa; Chordata; Mammalia; Rodentia; Chinchillidae.